GGUCUGGAUGGCAUAGAGGUUAGAGCAUCCUCCUCGGAUGCGGGAGGCCGCUGGUUCGAAUAUCGGCUGAGUCAUACCA
Non-coding RNA from Potamilus streckersoni, 79 nucleotides. The record is from the annotation of a GenBank genome assembly. Lineage: Eukaryota; Metazoa; Mollusca; Bivalvia; Unionida; Unionidae.